Molecule: non-coding RNA, 429 nt
Filed under: Pongo abelii (Sumatran orangutan)
Lineage: Eukaryota; Metazoa; Chordata; Mammalia; Primates; Hominidae
Source: RNAcentral
CUGUCUUUGAGGCCACCUACCCUAUACCACUCGUCCCGGAGAGCUUCUUCUUUAGGUGUUGAAGACUGUUCCUUUCUGGGUGAAGGAGAAUCAUGUAGCAAUUGGGAGCAAGAUGCAUCCAUGUAACCCAGUGCUGGAGGUCAAGAUGGAGACAAUCUCCACAACCACUAUGGCCUUUCCCUGAGUGCUACUGUAACUCAGGAGGAAAGCCACCCAGAUACUGCAGAACACCAACAUGCUGAAAGCAAACCAAAGAGAAGAAAGACUUUGUGCUUGAGAGUUGAAAAUGAGACCACCUUGCCAUGUCAAUUCAGGUCUCUUAAAGUCUUCCCUUGCAGGAGAAGAGGGAAGUGAAACGAAAUCUUCUUGCUGAUUAAUUCAUUGACAGAAUGGGAUUGUCUUGUGAAAGGGAAAUAUCUUGGAUCCCUU